Molecule: ribosomal RNA, 440 nt
Filed under: uncultured bacterium
Lineage: Bacteria
Description: partial 16S ribosomal RNA
Rfam family: Bacterial small subunit ribosomal RNA
Source: RNAcentral
CCUACGGGUGGCAGCAGUAGGGAAUAUUGCUCAAUGGGGGAAACCCUGAAGCAGCAACGCCGCGUGGAGGAUGAAGGUUCUCGGAUUGUAAACCCCUUUUGUUAGAGAAGAUAAUGACGGUAUCUAACGAAUAAGCACCGGCGAACUCCGUGCCAGCAGCCGCGGUAAUACGGAGGGUGCAAGCGUUACUCGGAAUAACUGGGCGUAAAGGGCGCGUAGGCGGGAUAGCAAGUCAGAUGUGAAAUCCUAUGGCUUAACCAUAGAACUGCAUUUGAAACUGUUAUUCUAGAGUAUGGGAGAGGUAGGUGGAAUUCUUGGUGUAGGGGUAAAAUCCGUAGAGAUCAAGAGGAAUACUCAUUGCGAAGGCGACCUGCUAGAACAUAACUGACGCUGAUGCGCGAAAGCGUGGGGAGCAAACAGGAUUAGAUACCCUUGUAGUC